This 498-nucleotide ribosomal RNA is filed under the name uncultured bacterium. RNAcentral describes it as "partial 16S ribosomal RNA". It matches the Rfam family "Bacterial small subunit ribosomal RNA", at positions 30 to 523 of the family's 1533-position model. The record is from RNAcentral.
AUUGAACGCUGGCGGCAUGCCUUACACAUGCAAGUCGAACGGUAACAGGUCUUCGGAUGCUGACGAGUGGCGAACGGGUGAGUAAUACAUCGGAACGUGCCUAGUAGUGGGGGAUAACUACUCGAAAGAGUGGCUAAUACCGCAUGAGAUCUACGGAUGAAAGCAGGGGAUCGCAAGACCUUGUGCUACUAGAGCGGCCGAUGGCAGAUUAGGUAGUUGGUGGGAUAAAAGCUUACCAAGCCGACGAUCUGUAGCUGGUCUGAGAGGACGAUCAGCGACACUGGGACUGAGACACGGCCCAGACUCCUACGGGAGGAAGCAGUGGGGAAUUUUGGACAAUGGGCGAAAGCCUGAUCCAGCAAUGCCGCGCGCAGGAUGAAGGCCUUCGGGUUGUAAACUGCUUUUGUACGGAACGAAAAGCCCCGGGUUAAUACCCUGGGGUCAUGACGGUACCGUAAGAAUAAGCACCGGCUAACUACGUGCCAGCCGCCGCAGUAA